UGGUUUGUGUCUACUUUUUUUUUUUUGCAGUUUAUUUUAAAGCUCCUGUUGUGAAAUGAACAUCAUGAAGGCAAAAAAAUUCAUAUAAAACAAUCAUCUUAUUAUAGUUUUAGAUGGAAUAUGUGAUCAACCAGUCAUGUCAACCACCCACUAGUUGACUUAACCAAUGCAGUGUGCAUUUCCUUUUAUUUUAAAAAGUCUAAAAGUUUUAUGCCAGUUCACCAAACCUCACCCAUAUGAUUUUUUUUUUUUUUAAUUUCUGGCACACACCACAAUGAGCUCAUUGUGCCCAAUGCAUCAUGGAGUUAUUAAACAGAUUGUUUUACCCAGGAAACUGAAGUCACCGUUGUCAAGGCGUUAACUGAGACUCUAUUCAUUCACAACCUACAGAGAGAUUUUGAAUCGUUGCGGCAAACUGUGUCGGGUGAAGUGGGCGUCACCAAGAGCGCUCAAGAGAAAGUCUGUGUGUGGACCUGUGACUCUACAUGAAUGACUCAAGUGAAGAAACACGCUUGAAACCACUAUUUCAAAGGAAAAAGAAGAGGAAGAGGGGACAUCUUGAACAUUCGCAGUGGAACUUGAGUGCGCAUCUGCGCAAAGUCUCUCCAAAGUCACUUGGUAACUUGUGCGCACCACUGCAGCUCCAUUCUCAAGCAGUUUUGGGGGUCACGGCGAGGAGAGACAAGAGCAGUGACUGUCGUCCAGCAGAAUGGCGUCAGACGUGGGCCGCAGCACUUGAGGUCAGCCGCUCACUCAGCGCACAGUGUUUAUUCUGCCUUCAGGUCCUCCUGGGAAGUUCCUACUUAAGAGUUCGGAAGUCAUAAUUAUGAUGUGAAGUGAUUUUGCUUGAAAUAAUACGGAUGAGUUGAGCAUAUAUUUAUGUGUGUCUUUAAGCCAGCUAAAAGAGAAUGUUCACAGAACUUGCUUAGACUGUUUUUUAUAAUAUUCCCAAAACUUUAGCACAACUUUAGCAUUUUUAGUUCCUGUGCAACAAAAUGAAGAGCGAAUGAUGCACAUUAGGUGUGAUUUUAAGCUUUAUGUAUUUUAUUACUCUUGUGCAACCGUAUAUAAUGAUUGAAAAUGUAUUUUUUUUCUUUAUCACAAAAUGUUAGAUAUACAUUAAAUCAACAUUCACAGUCUUGGUUCCAGAAGUAUUUUUCUCAUUCAUUUUCUAUAAAGGGAUUUAUCAAAAAUUAAAAAAAAGAGUUUUAAGCCAUUAAAACUUCAAAGAGCAACUAGCUUAAAGAUGGCAGAAGUUCGGAUGACGGAAGUCGGUGUAGUUUCAGUUUUUGAGGAAAUUGUCUACUCAUGAAAUAUAAUAUAAAACUCUUGACUUGCAGUCAUUUAUUGUUUAUUAUAUCAAUAUCAUAUUAAGUAUAAUACAAAUAUUAAGCAUAAUUUUAUUAAGUGUGAUAUUUUAAUAGUUUAAUUUAUUAUUUUAAUUCAUAUUUAUUUAUUUAUUUAUUUAUUUUUAUAACAUUCCAAUUGAAAUCACUGAUUUACAGCUUCUACAGAAGUGCAUCUUUUCAGAGCUCGAAAGGUUUAUAACUCUGUUGAGAAGACGAAUGGAUUGUACUUCUGGAACCCAACUGUUGCGUUCUAUAGCAAUUAGCUUCUGCUGUCAUUUUAUCACCACCAAAAAAUGUCGGGGCUCUUAUAAAAUCCCAUGUUUCUCAUUACUAAUUUCGACAUCCUGGCGAAUAUGACUGUGACGCGACUUGAAGACAGCACAGUUUAUUUAUUUUCAAGCUAAACUGCUGUGGACUUGUAAAGGCAAACAACAGAGCAGCACUGCCAGACUAGCUGAAGUAUUGUUGAUGAGUCGAUGCAGAGCCAUGUAACAUGAACACUUAUCACUGGCAAUAAAUGUUUCCCUGAAAAACACGA
Molecule: long non-coding RNA, 1887 nt
Organism: Onychostoma macrolepis
Lineage: Eukaryota; Metazoa; Chordata; Actinopteri; Cypriniformes; Cyprinidae
Exons: 2
Source: RefSeq, a predicted model, not a curated record